Molecule: ribosomal RNA, 253 nt
Filed under: uncultured bacterium
Lineage: Bacteria
Description: partial 16S ribosomal RNA
Rfam family: Bacterial small subunit ribosomal RNA
Source: RNAcentral
UACGUAGGGUGCGAGCGUUGUCCGGAAUUACUGGGCGUAAAGAGCUCGUAGGUGGUUUGUCGCGUUGUUCGUGAAAACUCACAGCUCAACUGUGGGCGUGCGGGCGAUACGGGCAGACUAGAGUACUGCAGGGGAGACUGGAAUUCCUGGUGUAGCGGUGGAAUGCGCAGAUAUCAGGAGGAACACCGGUGGCGAAGGCGGAUCUCUGGGCCUUACCUGACGCUCAGGUGCGAAAGCUAGGGGAGCGAACAGG